GCCUAGCCGUAAAAUAUUGAUUUACACUUAAAACCGCCAGGGAAUUACGAGCCCAAGCUUAAAACCCAAAGGACUUGACGGUGUCCCACCCACCUAGAGGAGCCUGUUCUAUAAUCGAUUCUCCCCGAUAAACCUCACCACUUUUAGCCUUUUCAGCCUGUAUACCUCCGUCGUAAGCUUACCAUAUGAACGCUAACUAGUGAGCUUAAAGAUCUUUUCAUCAAUACGUCAGGUCAAGGUGCAGCUUACGAAGUGGGAAGCAAUGGGCUACAAUUUCUAACAUAGAACACACGAAAGACUACAUGAAACACAGUCAUGAAGGCGGAUUUAGCAGUAAAAAGAAAAUAGAGAGUUCUUUUUAAUUAGGCGCUGGGACGCGUACACACCGCCCGUCACCCUCUUCAAACGCCCAUAAACGUUAAUUAACACCUAACCGCACAAUAGAAGAGGUAAGUCGUAACACGGUAAGCGUACUGGAAAGUGCGCUUGGACUAACAAAAUGUAGCUUAACCUAAAGCAUCUCGCUUACACCGAGAACAUGUCUGUUAAAUCCAGAUCAUUUUGAGCUAAAAACCUAGCUCAACUUUACACAAAUACCACAACCAAACAACUGUAACUAAACAAAACAUUUUUAAAUUUUUAGUAAAGGCGAUUGAAAAAUAUCUAGAAGCUAUAACAAUAGUACCGCAAGGGAAAAGUGAAAUAAAAAUGAAAUAACUUUAAAGCAAAGCUAAGCAGAGAUUUAACCUCG
RNAcentral lists this unclassified non-coding RNA (751 nucleotides) under Scaphiophryne marmorata (marbled rain frog). Its description in RNAcentral is "partial contains 12S ribosomal RNA, tRNA-Val and 16S ribosomal RNA". The stretch from base 1 to 502 matches the Rfam family "Bacterial small subunit ribosomal RNA", at positions 794 to 1533 of the family's 1533-position model. Lineage: Eukaryota; Metazoa; Chordata; Amphibia; Anura; Microhylidae. The record is from RNAcentral.